Molecule: transfer RNA, 76 nt
Filed under: Chloroflexota bacterium
Lineage: Bacteria; Bacillati; Chloroflexota
Also listed under: 2 other names
Description: Chloroflexi bacterium tRNA-Arg
Rfam family: tRNA
About the family: Transfer RNA (tRNA) molecules are approximately 80 nucleotides in length. Their secondary structure includes four short double-helical elements and three loops (D, anti-codon, and T loops).
Source: RNAcentral
CCGCCCGUAGCUCAGCGGAUAGAGCAUCGGUCUUCGGAACCGAGUGUCGUGGGUUCGAUUCCCUCCGGGCGGGCCA